This 2903-nucleotide ribosomal RNA is filed under the name Klebsiella quasipneumoniae. RNAcentral describes it as "23S ribosomal RNA". It matches the Rfam family "Bacterial large subunit ribosomal RNA". Lineage: Bacteria; Pseudomonadati; Pseudomonadota; Gammaproteobacteria; Enterobacterales; Enterobacteriaceae. The record is from RNAcentral.
GGUUAAGCGACUAAGCGUACACGGUGGAUGCCCUGGCAGUCAGAGGCGAUGAAGGACGUGCUAAUCUGCGAAAAGCGUCGGUAAGGUGAUAUGAACCGUUAUAACCGGCGAUGUCCGAAUGGGGAAACCCAGUGCAAUUCGUUGCACUAUCGUUAACUGAAUACAUAGGUUAACGAGGCGAACCGGGGGAACUGAAACAUCUAAGUACCCCGAGGAAAAGAAAUCAACCGAGAUUCCCCCAGUAGCGGCGAGCGAACGGGGAGCAGCCCAGAGUCUGAAUCAGCUUGUGUGUUAGUGGAACGGUCUGGAAAGUCCGACGGUACAGGGUGAUAGUCCCGUACACCAAAAUGCACAGGCUGUGAACUCGAAGAGUAGGGCGGGACACGUGGUAUCCUGUCUGAAUAUGGGGGGACCAUCCUCCAAGGCUAAAUACUCCUGACUGACCGAUAGUGAACCAGUACCGUGAGGGAAAGGCGAAAAGAACCCCGGCGAGGGGAGUGAAAAAGAACCUGAAACCGUGUACGUACAAGCAGUGGGAGCACCUUUAUGGUGUGACUGCGUACCUUUUGUAUAAUGGGUCAGCGACUUAUAUUCUGUAGCAAGGUUAACCGUAUAGGGGAGCCGCAGGGAAACCGAGUCUUAACUGGGCGUUAAGUUGCAGGGUAUAGACCCGAAACCCGGUGAUCUAGCCAUGGGCAGGUUGAAGGUUGGGUAACACUAACUGGAGGACCGAACCGACUAAUGUUGAAAAAUUAGCGGAUGACUUGUGGCUGGGGGUGAAAGGCCAAUCAAACCGGGAGAUAGCUGGUUCUCCCCGAAAGCUAUUUAGGUAGCGCCUCGUGAACUCAUCUUCGGGGGUAGAGCACUGUUUCGGCUAGGGGGUCAUCCCGACUUACCAACCCGAUGCAAACUACGAAUACCGAAGAAUGUUAUCACGGGAGACACACGGCGGGUGCUAACGUCCGUCGUGAAGAGGGAAACAACCCAGACCGCCAGCUAAGGUCCCAAAGUCAUGGUUAAGUGGGAAACGAUGUGGGAAGGCACAGACAGCCAGGAUGUUGGCUUAGAAGCAGCCAUCAUUUAAAGAAAGCGUAAUAGCUCACUGGUCGAGUCGGCCUGCGCGGAAGAUGUAACGGGGCUAAACCAUGCACCGAAGCUGCGGCAGCGACACGAUGUGUUGUUGGGUAGGGGAGCGUUCUGUAAGCCUGCGAAGGUGACCUGUGAGGGUUGCUGGAGGUAUCAGAAGUGCGAAUGCUGACAUAAGUAACGAUAAAGCGGGUGAAAAGCCCGCUCGCCGGAAGACCAAGGGUUCCUGUCCAACGUUAAUCGGGGCAGGGUGAGUCGACCCCUAAGGCGAGGCCGAAAGGCGUAGUCGAUGGGAAACAGGUUAAUAUUCCUGUACUUGGUGUUACUGCGAAGGGGGGACGGAGAAGGCUAUGUUAGCCGGGCGACGGUUGUCCCGGUUUAAGCAUGUAGGCUGAUUAUCCAGGCAAAUCCGGAUAAUCAAGGCUGAGGUGUGAUGACGAGGCACUACGGUGCUGAAGUAACAAAUGCCCUGCUUCCAGGAAAAGCCUCUAAGCAUCAGGUAACAUCAAAUCGUACCCCAAACCGACACAGGUGGUCAGGUAGAGAAUACCAAGGCGCUUGAGAGAACUCGGGUGAAGGAACUAGGCAAAAUGGUGCCGUAACUUCGGGAGAAGGCACGCUGGUGUGUAGGUGAAGUCCCUGCGGAUGGAGCUGAGACCAGUCGAAGAUACCAGCUGGCUGCAACUGUUUAUUAAAAACACAGCACUGUGCAAACACGAAAGUGGACGUAUACGGUGUGACGCCUGCCCGGUGCCGGAAGGUUAAUUGAUGGGGUUAUCCGUAAGGAGAAGCUCUUGAUCGAAGCCCCGGUAAACGGCGGCCGUAACUAUAACGGUCCUAAGGUAGCGAAAUUCCUUGUCGGGUAAGUUCCGACCUGCACGAAUGGCGUAAUGAUGGCCAGGCUGUCUCCACCCGAGACUCAGUGAAAUUGAACUCGCUGUGAAGAUGCAGUGUACCCGCGGCAAGACGGAAAGACCCCGUGAACCUUUACUAUAGCUUGACACUGAACAUUGAGCCUUGAUGUGUAGGAUAGGUGGGAGGCUUUGAAGCGUGGACGCCAGUCUGCGUGGAGCCAACCUUGAAAUACCACCCUUUAAUGUUUGAUGUUCUAACGUUGGCCCCUUAUCGGGGUUGCGGACAGUGUCUGGUGGGUAGUUUGACUGGGGCGGUCUCCUCCCAAAGCGUAACGGAGGAGCACGAAGGUUAGCUAAUCCUGGUCGGACAUCAGGAGGUUAGUGCAAUGGCAUAAGCUAGCUUGACUGCGAGCGUGACGGCGCGAGCAGGUGCGAAAGCAGGUCAUAGUGAUCCGGUGGUUCUGAAUGGAAGGGCCAUCGCUCAACGGAUAAAAGGUACUCCGGGGAUAACAGGCUGAUACCGCCCAAGAGUUCAUAUCGACGGCGGUGUUUGGCACCUCGAUGUCGGCUCAUCACAUCCUGGGGCUGAAGUAGGUCCCAAGGGUAUGGCUGUUCGCCAUUUAAAGUGGUACGCGAGCUGGGUUUAGAACGUCGUGAGACAGUUCGGUCCCUAUCUGCCGUGGGCGCUGGAGAAUUGAGGGGGGCUGCUCCUAGUACGAGAGGACCGGAGUGGACGCAUCACUGGUGUUCGGGUUGUCAUGCCAAUGGCACUGCCCGGUAGCUAAAUGCGGAAGAGAUAAGUGCUGAAAGCAUCUAAGCACGAAACUUGCCCCGAGAUGAGUUCUCCCUGAGACUUUAAGUCUCCUGAAGGAACGUUGAAGACGACGACGUUGAUAGGCCGGGUGUGUAAGCGCAGCGAUGCGUUGAGCUAACCGGUACUAAUGAACCGUGAGGCUUAACCUU